UAUGUCAAUUAAGUUAUGCCAAUCCACAUAGUACUUCAUAAUUUGGCUAUUUUUGUCUCUAGAAAUAGGAGUAACUUGGUGUCGCAUUUUAAGGCACGAAAUUUAGUCCCCUCUUUGCCUCUCUCCCAAGUUGAAGAAGCAAUGUCAUUGUUGAGGUCAAGGUACGCUCUCUCUCUUCCUUCUGCCAAUUUGUUUCUUGUUCGAUUCUUCUCUCACAAUCACAAUCUUGUUUCUGUUGACGAUGCUGUUUCCUCAUUCAAUCGCAUCCUCUAUAUGAACCCUAACCCACCCAUCUUUGAAUUCAACAAGAUAUUGGGUUCCCUUGUUAAAAUCAAACAUUACUCAACUGCUAUUUCCCUUUUUCAACAAUUGCAACUUCGACGAAUUCCAACCGACAUUGUUAAUUUGAGCAUCUUGAUUAACUGUUACUGCCACCUUCAUCAACUCAAUUUUGCAUUUUCUGUAUUCGCCAACAUCCUCAAGCUAGGUUAUCACCCUGAUACAAUAACUAUUAAUACACUUAUCAGAGGUCUCUGUAACAGCGGCAAGAUUAAUGAAGCACUUCACUUUCACGACAACAUUAUAGCGAAGGGGUUUCGACUUGAUCAAGUUAGUUACGGGACGUUGAUUAAAGGGUUAUGUCAAAUAGGAGAAACAAAAGCUGCUCUGCAGAUUCUUAAGAAGAUUGAAGGGUCGUCUGUUAAACAUAAUGUGAUAAUGUACAACACAAUCAUUGAUAGUUUCGGAAAGGAUAAACUUGUGAAUGAUGCUUUUGAUUUAUAUUUUGAAAUGAUUGUCAAAGGAAUUUCUCCUAAUGUUAUCACUUAUAAUACUUUAGUGAAUACCCUUUGCAUUGUCGGUCAAUUGAAAGAAGCAGUUGGUUUGUUAAAUGAAAUGUCCUUGAAAAAUAUUAGCCCUAAUGUUUGUACUUUUAAUACACUUAUUGAUGGUUUUUGUAAGGAAGGAGAGGUGGAAAAAAACAGAAGUGUGGUGGCUGUUAUGAUUAAACAAGGCGUAAAACCUAAUGUUAUUACUUAUAAUUCUUUGAUGGAUGGAUAUUUCUUGGUUAAAGAAGUGAACACGGCUAGACACAUAUUCAACUCUUUUGUUCGAAGAGGAGUGGAACCUAAUACUCAAAGUUACACUGUCAUGAUAGAUGGAUUAUGUAAGAGUAGAAUGGUGGAUGAAGCUGUGAAUCUCUUCAAAGAAAUGCAUUUGAAAAACAUGGCUCCGGAUACUAUAACAUACAAUUCCCUUAUUGAUGGACUUUGUAAAUCAGGGAGAAUCUCUGAUGUUUGGGAUCUCAUAGAUGAGAUGCAUGACAGAGGCCAACCUGCUAAUGUGAUCACUUAUAAUUCUUUACUGGAUGCUUUGUGCAAAGACCAUAAGGUUGACGAGGCAAUUGCAUUAUUAAAGAAGAUCAAAGACCAAGGGAUUCUUCCGAGCAUGUAUACAUACACUAUACUUGUUGAUGGACUAUGCAAAAAUGGAAGACUUAAGGAUGCACAGAAGGUUUUUCACGAGCUUCUGAUUAAGGGCUAUCAUUUAGAGGCUAAAAUGUAUACUGUGAUGGUUAAUGGACUAUGUAAAGAGCGCUUGUUUGAUGAAGCAUUUUCCUUAAUGUCGCUAAUGGAAGACAACAAUUGCACACCUGAUGUUGUAACUUACGAAAUUCUCGUUCGUGCUUUGUUUGAAAAUGGAAAGAAUGAUAAGGCGGUGAAACUUCUUCGUGAAAUGAUUGCUAAAGGUCUACUACAACAGUAAAACUAGGGGAGAUGCUUUUGUUAUUUUGAAUUUUAAAACAGCCAUCAAGUUAUCCGGAUCACUGGAACCUCUAAUCAAAGAGUAUCAUCAGCAGAUGCUACAAGAAUAUCCCCGUAGUGGAAAUUAAACAAACUUCUUGUAUACAGAUGGCUGUCGUAAUACUGAGAAUUCUAUUCUAUCUGUUUCUCAAACUCAUCAUUAGUUUUACGAUUUCUGGUAGGUGCUGUUCUACAAUGGUUUUUAAAUAAUUUUCUCCUAAGCAUAAUACUUGGUACAAUUUUUGUUCUUGUUCUAAUUUUGGAACUUCUGUUAUUCUCUUUGAAUCUAGUACUAAUUAAAGUGACUCCUUGAAGCAAAACUGACUGUUAAUUUGUCUGCUCAUGCUUGUCAUAAAAAAACUGUCGCGUGAUGUUAGAUCAGUGAAUUGGUACAAGCAAUAAUUUAGACUUUUUGAGGAGCUUUUAUGACUAAGGUUGUUGCUAGAAUUAAGAAUAUGUAGAUAGUCCUUAAGUGUAACAACUUCCUGGAUUGAUGUAUUAUACAACUUCUUAGAAGAGUGCCUAUUCAAUCUAUCAUUGCAGCACUUAUAAAUACAAGUUGUGUGAUCUAAUUAACCUUUUGAUUUGCCUUUGAAUUUGUUUCUGUUGCAACUACACUCUUAUUUUUUGCAUAUAUGAGCAUCUAAUCUGAAGGAAUAAACAAAUUAUCCCUACACAAACUCUCGUCAAACAAACGCACCGCGAUGGUGAAGUGAUAUUUUCAAAGGUGAAGAAGCUAUUAGCUCAACAUUAAUGAAAAGUAUGCGUAAAAAAAAUUGGACAUAUAAUUUUACAACCAAAAAACACAAUCAUGACCUCAACAAAAUUAACCCUGGUGGUUUUUUAACUCAAAAUCAUAAAUUAAAACAUAAAAGCUCAGGAACAAUUGCAAAUAGAGUUAGAUUCAUGGCUAAUUCUGUCUAUAAUAUUUGCAAUGAAAAAACAAUAACCGAGAGUUACCAGAAAAAAAUUAAAGAGCUAUAAGCGGUUAUUUUUCUAAAUUGGAGAGGUGAAUUUAUAUAAUUUUGGAAAAAGGUUAUGAAGAGGUGCUUUUAUACCAUUUGGGAAGAGGUUGUGAAAACUAAGUAGAUUGAAAAAAUGAGAAUGAUAAUGGAUUAAUUGAAGUUAUGUGGGAUUACUUGAAGUAAUGGGUUUAUAUAAA
Molecule: RNA transcript, 2964 nt
Organism: Vicia villosa (hairy vetch)
Lineage: Eukaryota; Viridiplantae; Streptophyta; Magnoliopsida; Fabales; Fabaceae
Gene name: pentatricopeptide repeat-containing protein At1g62930, chloroplastic-like
Exons: 2
Source: RefSeq, a predicted model, not a curated record